AACGAACGCUGGCGGCAGGCCUAACACAUGCAAGUCGAGCGAGAUCUUCGGAUCUAGCGGCGGACGGGUGAGUAACGCGUGGGAAUAUGCCCUUCUCUACGGAAUAGCCCCGGGAAACUGGGAGUAAUACCGUAUACGCCCUUUGGGGGAAAGAUUUAUCGGAGAAGGAUUAGCCCGCGUUGGAUUAGGUAGUUGGUGGGGUAAUGGCCUACCAAGCCUACGAUCCAUAGCUGGUUUGAGAGGAUGAUCAGCCACACUGGGACUGAGACACGGCCCAGACUCCUACGGGAGGCAGCAGUGGGGAAUCUUAGACAAUGGGGGCAACCCUGAUCUAGCCAUGCCGCGUGAGUGAUGAAGGCCUUAGGGUCGUAAAGCUCUUUCAGCUGGGAAGAUAAUGACGUACCAGCAGAGAGCCCCG
Molecule: ribosomal RNA, 418 nt
Filed under: Paracoccus marcusii
Lineage: Bacteria; Pseudomonadati; Pseudomonadota; Alphaproteobacteria; Rhodobacterales; Paracoccaceae
Description: bacterial SSU rRNA
Rfam family: Bacterial small subunit ribosomal RNA
Source: RNAcentral